GGGGGCAUAGCUCAGAUGGUAGAGCGCUCGUUUAACAUGAGAAAGGUACGGGGAUCGUUACCCCGCGCCUCCA
RNAcentral lists this transfer RNA (73 nucleotides) under Trichonephila inaurata madagascariensis. It matches the Rfam family "tRNA". Rfam says of the family: Transfer RNA (tRNA) molecules are approximately 80 nucleotides in length. Their secondary structure includes four short double-helical elements and three loops (D, anti-codon, and T loops). Further hydrogen bonds mediate the characteristic L-shaped molecular structure. tRNAs have two regions of fundamental functional importance: the anti-codon, which is responsible for specific mRNA codon recognition, and the 3' end, to which the tRNAs corresponding amino acid is attached (by aminoacyl-tRNA synthetases). tRNAs cope with the degeneracy of the genetic code in two manners: having more than one tRNA (with a specific anti-codon) for a particular amino acid; and 'wobble' base-pairing, i.e. permitting non-standard base-pairing at the 3rd anti-codon position. The record is from Rfam by way of RNAcentral. Lineage: Eukaryota; Metazoa; Arthropoda; Arachnida; Araneae; Nephilidae.